UCUGUUUAUAUGUCCGAGAUAUGUCCAUUGUUAGCAUAAUAUGAAAUAAUUCCAACGGCCUACUCAUAUGUUCACUUGACUGUGUUGCUACAUUUCAGGGUAUACUAUAUUUUUUGAUAAUGCUCACAAUUUCUUUCUUAUUAUAUAGUUUUGCAGUUCUGACUGAGUACAAUCCUAAUCAUUACAAUAAAUGGUGUCAUCGGAAGCUGAUGUAUUAAUUGAUUGUUCAGAAACAGAUUGUUCAGGUGUUCUGUGAUAGGGGUCGCAUUAAAACAAUAAUUGGGACAAAAACUGACUUAGUAUUUCUAUAUAUGAUAUUAUACAGUAUUUAGUGGCAAUUAGCUAGCCAUGGCAACUGGUCAUGCUACAGUAUAUAAUUUGGAUAAUGCAAAUAUAAAUGUUAUGGCUAGCUUUGCCACAGACAGUAUUAUAAUUAUACAUACAAAAGUAAGAAAUUAUAAGCAUUGAAAGUAUUCAUAUUAUACCGUCCAUGCAGGCCAUGCUAAGAAAGUAGAAUUAGAAUAUUUAGCUAACCUUUGAUUUUGUGCAAGGUGUUUGAUAUUCAAAUUGCAUUUUUCCCACUUCCUGAACAGGUAUCUUAUGGGCUAUUUACAUGUUGGAAGGUGGGAUGAUUUUGAUGUAUUGAAAUAAGGCUAAACAAAAGUCCAAAUGCUGGUUAAUUAACAGAAAUUAAAUGUUGUACAGAAGAUCUAGCAGUUCAAGCAGCUUAUUAUUACCAGGGGCGUUGGAACGACUGUAAAAGUGGGGGAGGAAUGCGGGUGACGACAGGUAACAGUGUAGGGG
Non-coding RNA from Paramuricea clavata, 804 nucleotides. NCBI's taxonomy places the organism in Eukaryota, Metazoa, Cnidaria, Anthozoa, Malacalcyonacea, Plexauridae. The record is from the annotation of a GenBank genome assembly.